Molecule: ribosomal RNA, 322 nt
Filed under: uncultured eukaryote
Lineage: Eukaryota
Description: partial 18S ribosomal RNA
Rfam family: Eukaryotic small subunit ribosomal RNA
Source: RNAcentral
CCCUUAGAUGUUCUGGGCCGCACGCGUGCUACACUGAGUGGAUCAGCGGGUCAGGUUGCGCGAAAGUGUUUCCUAAUCUUGAAAUCCGCUCGUGAUGGGGAUUGACGGUUGCAAUUUUCCGUCAUGAACGAGGAAUACCUUGUAAGCGCGGGUCAUCAUCCCGCGCUGAAUACGUCCCUGCCCUUUGUACACACCGCCCGUCGCUCCUACCGAUUGAGUGGUCCAGUGAGGCUUUGGGAUCUGAGCAAAAAGAGCGUUUCGCUCGUUUGGCUCGGAAAACUCAGUCGAACCUUAUCAUUUAGAGGAAGGGGAAGUCGUAACA